Molecule: ribosomal RNA, 425 nt
Filed under: uncultured prokaryote
Description: bacterial SSU rRNA
Rfam family: Bacterial small subunit ribosomal RNA
Source: RNAcentral
CAGGGAAUAUUGCACAAUGGGCGAAAGCCUGAUGCAGCAACGCCGCGUGCGGGAUGAAGGCCUUCGGGUUGUAAACCGCUUUCAGUAGGGAAGAAAAUGACGGUACCUACAGAAGAAGCCCCGGCCAACUACGUGCCAGCAGCCGCGGUAACACGUGGGGGGCGAGCGUUGUCCGGAUUUAUUGGGCGUAAAGGGCUCGUAGGCGGCUUGACAAGUCGGUCGUGAAAGCCCGGGGCUUAACCCCGGGAGGCCGGUCGAAACUGUCAUGGCUAGUUUCCGGUAGAGGUGAGUGGAAUUCUCGGUGUAGCGGUGAAAUGCGCAGAUAUCGAGAGGAACACCAGUAGCGAAGGCGGCUCACUGGGCCGGUAAAGACGCUGAGGAGCGAAAGCGUGGGGAGCAAACAGGAUUAGAUACCCCCGUAGUCC